UACGGGGGGGAGCAAGCGUUGUUCGGAUUUACUGGGCGUAAAGGGCGCGUAGGCGGUCGUGACAAGUCACUUGUGAAAUCUCCGGGCUUAACUCGGAACGGUCAAGUGAUACUGUCGUGCUAGAGUACAGAAGGGGCAACUGGAAUUCUCGGUGUAGCGGUGAAAUGCGUAGAUAUGACAUAGAACACCAAUUGCGAAGGCAGCUCGCUACACAUAUAUUGACUCUGAGGCACGAAAGCGUGGGGAUCAAACAGG
RNAcentral lists this ribosomal RNA (255 nucleotides) under uncultured bacterium. Its description in RNAcentral is "partial 16S ribosomal RNA". It matches the Rfam family "Bacterial small subunit ribosomal RNA", at positions 524 to 776 of the family's 1533-position model. The record is from RNAcentral.